CGGAAUCUGCCUAUUUGUGGGGGAUAACGUAGGGAAACUUACGCUAAUACCGCAUACGACCUACGGGUGAAAGCGGAGGACCUUCGGGCUUCGCGCAUAUAGAUGAGCCGAUGUCGGAUUAGCUAGUUGGCGGGGUAAAGGCCCACCAAGGCGACGAUCCGUAGCUGGUCUGAGAGGAUGAUCAGCCACACUGGAACUGAGACACGGUCCAGACUCCUACGGGAGGCAGCAGUGGGGAAUAUUGGACAAUGGGCGCAAGCCUGAUCCAGCCAUGCCGCGUGGGUGAAGAAGGCCUUCGGGUUGUAAAGCCCUUUUGUUGGGAAAGAAAAGCAGUCGGUUAAUACCCGAUUGUUCUGACGGUACCCAAAGAAUAAGCACCGGCUAACUUCGUGCCAGCAGCCGCGGUAAUACGAAGGGUGCAAGCGUUACUCGGAAUUACUGGGCGUAAAGCGUGCGUAGGUGGUUUGUUAAGUCUGAUGUGAAAGCCCUGGGCUCAACCUGGGAAUUGCAUUGGAUACUGGCAGGCUAGAGUGCGGUAGAGGGUAGUGGAAUUCCCGGU
RNAcentral lists this ribosomal RNA (559 nucleotides) under uncultured bacterium. Its description in RNAcentral is "bacterial SSU rRNA". It matches the Rfam family "Bacterial small subunit ribosomal RNA", at positions 119 to 674 of the family's 1533-position model. The record is from RNAcentral.